UCAAACUUGGUCAUUUAGAGGAAGUAAAAGUCGUAACAAGGUUUCCGUAGGUGAACCUGCGGAAGGAUCAUUAAAAAUUUUGAUUCUAUAUCUACCUUUUUGUGCAUUUAUUGAAAGUAUUAAACUUUUGGGAGAGAUUUGUGUCUUUCCCAAAAGUUUUUUUAAAAACUUUUUUUUUAAAUAAUUGUCUAAAGAAAUUUUUUAAAAAUUUAAAUAAAACAACUUUCAACAACGGAUCUCUUGGCUCUCGCAUCGAUGAAGAACGCAGC
Molecule: unclassified non-coding RNA, 269 nt
Filed under: uncultured fungus
Lineage: Eukaryota; Fungi
Description: partial contains small subunit ribosomal RNA, internal transcribed spacer 1, and 5.8S ribosomal RNA
Rfam family: Eukaryotic small subunit ribosomal RNA (bases 1-73)
Source: RNAcentral